GAAUUGCCUUUGAUACUGUUAUUCUUGAGUGUAGUUGAAGUGGGCGGAAUAUAGCAUGUAGCGGUGAAAUGCAUAGAUAUGCUAUAGAACACCAAUUGCGAAGGCAGCUCGCUAAACUAUAACUGACGCUGAGGCACGAAAGCGUGGGGAGCGAACAGGAUUAGAUACCCUGGUAGUCCACGCCGUAAACGAUGAACACUCGCUGUUGGCGAUACACAGUCAGCGGCUUAGCGAAAGCGUUAAGUGUUCCACCUGGGAAUUACGAUCGCAAGGUUGAAACUCAAAGGAAUUGACGGGGGCCCGCACAAGCGGUGGAGCAUGUGGUUUAAUUCGAUGCAACGCGAAGAACCUUACCGAGAAUUGACAUCCCGUGACUACCUGUGAGAGCA
RNAcentral lists this ribosomal RNA (389 nucleotides) under uncultured bacterium. RNAcentral describes it as "bacterial SSU rRNA". It matches the Rfam family "Bacterial small subunit ribosomal RNA", at positions 618 to 1009 of the family's 1533-position model. The record is from RNAcentral.